Molecule: long non-coding RNA, 825 nt
Filed under: Solanum tuberosum (potato)
Lineage: Eukaryota; Viridiplantae; Streptophyta; Magnoliopsida; Solanales; Solanaceae
Description: long non-coding RNA (STUB_LNC001730)
Source: RNAcentral
GUUUAGACAAUUCAAAUACAUAAUCUAAUUUUAAUUUCCUUUAAUUUUUAGUCAUGUAACUAAUACUUAUUAAACUUAUUUUAGCAUGAUUUAGUACUUUUAAAUUAUGAUCAUUUUCAUUAUGACUUGUUAAUUUGCAAUAUUUGUUUUACGCGAUUUCAUUAAUAUUAUUUUUUUGUUGGAUAUUUUAGUGUCAUUACUUAUAUCAUAUUUUGUGUUAUUUUCUUAAGAAACACCUUAGAUAGUAGUAUUUUGGUAGGACUAAGGAAAUAUUUGAAGUACAAGUAAAUUAUAUGUUUGUAUGAAUACUUUACCGGAGAAACCCAAAAAUCCGAAAAACUCAAAAAAAUCCGAUAAAACCCGAGGUUGAAAAACCCGAGUUUUAUUGGUUUGGUUUGGUUUAUAGAUUUAAAAAUCCGACACAAAUGGUUUGGUGUGAUAUUUGAAAAACCCGAACCAACCCGACCAUGUACACCCCUACAUCCAACAUUCUCAAUAUUAAAUGCUCUUUAGAUUUUCCUUGUUGAGGGGAAGCAACAUGUACAAGACCCUUGACAUGGUUGUGGUAAAUCCAAAUUGCAAUUGCUUGUAUUAUCCAUUUGAAUCUCACCUAAUUCACUAGAUGAUGAAUUAUUAGUAGUAUAAGUAGAAGAUAGUGAAGAUGCAUCUUUUAAAGGACCCCAACAAUCCACUUUGUUGAAUUCUUGUAUGUUUGAGUGAAAAUAUACCCAAACCAAAGCUUCUUCCAACUCUGGAUAAUUCUUUAGCAAAUUCUCAUCUCCAUGAACAAAUGCUUUCAAAACCUAGAACAUAUGCAAAAAGAAU